UACUGGAAGCCAGUGUAUGGUGAUGAC
RNAcentral lists this non-coding RNA (27 nucleotides) under Homo sapiens (human). The record is from RNAcentral. Lineage: Eukaryota; Metazoa; Chordata; Mammalia; Primates; Hominidae.